Molecule: ribosomal RNA, 253 nt
Filed under: uncultured bacterium
Lineage: Bacteria
Description: partial 16S ribosomal RNA
Rfam family: Bacterial small subunit ribosomal RNA
Source: RNAcentral
UACGGGGGGAGCAAGCGUUGUUCGGAUUUACUGGGCGUAAAGCGCACGUAGGCGGCUUCGCAAGUCCCAUGUGAAAGCCCACGGCUUAACCGUGGAAGUGCAUGGGAAACUGCAGAGCUUGAGUACUUAAGAGGAUCGCGGAAUUCCCGGUGUAGAGGUGAAAUUCGUAGAUAUCGGGAGGAACACCAGUGGCGAAGGCGACUACCUGGCCUGUUCUUGACGCUGAGGCGCGAAAGCUAGGGGAGCAAACGGG